UACCCACAUGAAGAAGUAGGACAAAUACCAAUGGCAUUUGUGGUGAGACAACCUGGAAGCAAACUCAGUGAAGCAGAAAUUAUUGAUUUUGUUGCAAAGAAGGUCGCACCAUAUAAGAAAAUACGUAAAGUUGCAUUUGUUGACUCGAUACCGAAGUCAGCAGCUGGAAAGAUUUUGAGGAGGGAAUUGUGCAAACAUGCACUUUCUAGCUCUCUAUCUAGAUUAUGAUGCAUGUUUCAUGUUUAAAUCAUGAUGUCUUUAGUGUCAUUAUGUCCUUUAAACUAUGAGUUUCAAGCAUAGCGGUAGUGCAAUAUUCCAGCACUUGCU
Molecule: non-coding RNA, 327 nt
Organism: Elaeis guineensis (African oil palm)
Lineage: Eukaryota; Viridiplantae; Streptophyta; Magnoliopsida; Arecales; Arecaceae
Source: RefSeq, a predicted model, not a curated record